This 811-nucleotide ribosomal RNA is filed under the name Streptomyces sp. RNAcentral describes it as "bacterial SSU rRNA". It matches the Rfam family "Bacterial small subunit ribosomal RNA", at positions 92 to 916 of the family's 1533-position model. The record is from RNAcentral. Lineage: Bacteria; Bacillati; Actinomycetota; Actinomycetes; Kitasatosporales; Streptomycetaceae.
UUAGUGGCGACGGGUGAGUAACACGUGGGCAAUCUGCCCUGCACUCUGGGACAAGCCCUGGAAACGGGGUCUAAUACCGGAUACUGACCUGCUUGGGCAUCCAAGCGGUUCGAAAGCUCCGGCGGUGCAGGAUGAGCCCGCGGCCUAUCAGCUAGUUGGUGAGGUAAUGGCUCACCAAGGCGACGACGGGUAGCCGGCCUGAGAGGGCGACCGGCCACACUGGGACUGAGACACGGCCCAGACUCCUACGGGAGGCAGCAGUGGGGAAUAUUGCACAAUGGGCGAAAGCCUGAUGCAGCGACGCCGCGUGAGGGAUGACGGCCUUCGGGUUGUAAACCUCUUUCAGCAGGGAAGAAGCGAAAGUGACGGUACCUGCAGAAGAAGCGCCGGCUAACUACGUGCCAGCAGCCGCGGUAAUACGUAGGGCGCAAGCGUUGUCCGGAAUUAUUGGGCGUAAAGAGCUCGUAGGCGGCUUGUCACGUCGGUUGUGAAAGCCCGGGGCUUAACCCCGGGUCUGCAGUCGAUACGGGCAGGCUAGAGUUCGGUAGGGGAGAUCGGAAUUCCUGGUGUAGCGGUGAAAUGCGCAGAUAUCAGGAGGAACACCGGUGGCGAAGGCGGAUCUCUGGGCCGAUACUGACGCUGAGGAGCGAAAGCGUGGGGAGCGAACAGGAUUAGAUACCCUGGUAGUCCACGCCGUAAACGGUGGGCACUAGGUGUGGGCAACAUUCCACGUUGUCCGUGCCGCAGCUAACGCAUUAAGUGCCCCGCCUGGGGAGUACGGCCGCAAGGCUAAACUCAAAGGAAUUGACGG